CCCUGCACCCAGUCGAAGAAGCGAGCUUAUGAGGAGGAACCAUGCUGCAAGUGGUCGCGUUUUCGCUGCUGGCGGUGGUGAGCACGUCAUCAGCAGCUAUGAUCUUGGUGAUCGCACCGUCACCGUCCUACAGCCACCAGCUGCCAUUCCACAUCCUGACAAAGGCUCUCCUGCAGAGGGGCCACCGAGUCACCCUCAUGACGACAGACUCCAUGAAGAUAUCUCAUGAGAACUAUACCGAGAUUGACUUGUCAAUAGCUUAUAGAUACAUAAGAGGCCACUGUGAUUAUGUGAAGGUAUACGAAGAAACACCGACACGGUCGAUGGCAAUGAGGCUGGAC
Molecule: long non-coding RNA, 341 nt
Organism: Schistocerca americana (American grasshopper)
Lineage: Eukaryota; Metazoa; Arthropoda; Insecta; Orthoptera; Acrididae
Exons: 3
Source: RefSeq, a predicted model, not a curated record